Molecule: unclassified non-coding RNA, 241 nt
Filed under: uncultured Leotiomycetes
Lineage: Eukaryota; Fungi; Ascomycota; Leotiomycetes
Description: sequence contains 5.8S rRNA gene, ITS2, 28S rRNA gene
Rfam family: 5.8S ribosomal RNA (bases 1-52)
Source: RNAcentral
AACGCACAUUGCGCCCUCUGGUAUUCCGGGGGGCAUGCCUGUUCGAGCGUCAUUACACAACCCUCAAGCACUGCUUGGUGUUGGGUGCCACCUUUUGUGCACCUUAAAAUCAGUGGCGGCGUUCUGCAGCUUUCCAGCGUAAUAAAUUUUUCGCUCUGGAGCCUGUCAGGAACACUGCCAACAACACUCAUUUAAUCUAAAGGCUGACCUCGGAUCAGGUAGGGAUACCCGCUGAACUUAA